GAUGAACGCUGGCGGCGUGCCUAAUACAUGCAAGUCGAGCGAACGGACGAGAAGCUUGCUUCUCUGAUGUUAGCGGCGGACGGGUGAGUAACACGUGGAUAACCUACCUAUAAGACUGGGAUAACUUCGGGAAACCGGAGCUAAUACCGGAUAAUAUUUUGAACCGCAUGGUUCAAAAGUGAAAGACGGUCUUGCUGUCACUUAUAGAUGGAUCCGCGCUGCAUUAGCUAGUUGGUAAGGUAACGGCUUACCAAGGCAACGAUGCAUAGCCGACCUGAGAGGGUGGUCGGCCACACUGGAACUGAGACACGGUCCAGACUCCUACGGGAGGCAGCAGUAGGGAAUCUUCCGCAAUGGGCGAAAGCCUGACGGAGCAACGCCGCGUGAGUGAUGAAGGUGUUCGGAUCGUAAAACUCUGUUAUUAGGGAAGAACAUAUGUGUAAGUAACUGUGCACAUCUUGACGGUACCUAAUCAGAAAGCCACGGCUAACUACGUG
This 497-nucleotide ribosomal RNA is filed under the name uncultured bacterium. Its description in RNAcentral is "partial 16S ribosomal RNA". It matches the Rfam family "Bacterial small subunit ribosomal RNA", at positions 28 to 507 of the family's 1533-position model. The record is from RNAcentral.